Molecule: RNA transcript, 1321 nt
Organism: Halichondria panicea
Lineage: Eukaryota; Metazoa; Porifera; Demospongiae; Suberitida; Halichondriidae
Exons: 3
Source: RefSeq, a predicted model, not a curated record
UGGUAUGAAAUUUGAAAACAAUAAAUUUCACGUGGAGUGGAUCACAGUUGAUAAGUUUAGGCUGAAUUAACUGUGUGUUAGUCGUCUAUAGCUUGGUAGCCAGCUAGCUAUGGUUCUACUGGGCCUCUCUCUGUUAAAGGCCUUCCCUAGAGGAGCUGAUAGAGGGCUGUAUGCAGGGAAGGGGAUCAUGAAUGGAGUCAAGAUAACUUUCUCAAACAAGAAAACAAAGCGUGCGUGGUACCCCAAUGUUCAGAAAAAGAACUACUACAGUGAUGUCCUAGACACCAGUCUGACACUGAGAGUGACCACAGCUGCCAUGAGAUGUAUUGACAAGGCUGGAGGCUUUGAUGCGUACAUUUACCACACCCCCGAGGCUAAACUGAACUCUAAACUAGGCAUGGCCCUUAAGCAAAGACUGUGUGCUGUCUUGCAGACGUGCCCGGAGGUGAAGGCUCCUCGCAAAGCUAAGAGACUGCCUAAGCCACCCGUUGACACUACACAGACUGUAUAGGCAUUUAUAUAGUUUAUGUCAUGUUCAUGUAAUUCAUCUUCCCAUGUUAUAAUAAUAAUUAUUGAGAGAUUUAUGAUCAUCGCAAGGGGGAGUACAGUAAUAUAUAUUAUUAUAAUAUUGAAAGCUUGUGCUGAGUAAAGCCGGCCCGAUACCAUUCAUGCCAUGUGUGAGGUAGUUACACUUAUUCUGUAGUGUAUGUUAAUAAUUCUUAGAGUCAAUAGCUGCAGCCAGGCUCCACCCAGUUACAGUGACACCCACGUACAUGGCAGCAGAAACAUGGUGGUGUUGGGAACAGUACUGUUGAUCAGACGGUUGUGGUCGAAGAUGCCCUCCCUUGAGGCUGUACAGAGAGGCCCUGAGUCAGUGAGGGACCUACUGCCCUUCACAGUAAUGAAUCCGAAGAAAGAAUACGUUCGUUUGCCAGCCCCUGGAUUCAAGCGAACCUAUCGCAGUGUUAUACUGGGUCAAACGUUGAGAGUGAGGGCCACACUAGGUCUACAGAGGAAGAUCGAGAGAUUGGGGGGAUUCGAUCGAUACAUCUAUUACUCCCCGGAGGAGGAGCUAGAGUCACGACUGGCCCUAGUGUUGAGGAGACGCAUGAAAGACCUGGUGGCAAAACAUCCCAGCGUUGAACCACCACCACUGGACAAGAGAAACCCUAAACCGUUACCUAAGAAACUCAGUAUUGACAUUGCACCAGUAGAAGUUUGUGAUAUGAGCCAGUAUGUGUAUCUAGGCUAGCCUAUAUAUUUACCAUGUUAUCAUAUCUAAUUUAUAUGAAAUUUAAUAAUCAAAACAUUUAAUGAUUGA